UUACGGAGGGUGCAAGCGUUGUUCGGAAUCACUGGGCGUAAAGGGCGCGCAGGCGGUUUGGUAAGUCAGAUGUGAAAGCCCAUGGCUCAACCAUGGAAGUGCAUUUGAAACUGUCAGACUUGAGUACUAGAGGGGAAAGUGGAAUUCCCGGUGUAGAGGUGAAAUUCGUAGAUAUCGGGAGGAAUACCGGUGGCGAAGGCGACUUUCUGGCUAGAUACUGACGCUGAGGCGCGAAAGCGUGGGGAGCAAACAGGAUUAGAAACCCCAGUAGUCC
Molecule: ribosomal RNA, 274 nt
Filed under: uncultured bacterium
Lineage: Bacteria
Description: partial 16S ribosomal RNA
Rfam family: Bacterial small subunit ribosomal RNA
Source: RNAcentral